Molecule: ribosomal RNA, 247 nt
Filed under: uncultured bacterium
Lineage: Bacteria
Description: partial 16S ribosomal RNA
Rfam family: Bacterial small subunit ribosomal RNA
Source: RNAcentral
AUACGUAGGGGGCAAGCGUUAUCCGGAUUUACUGGGUGUAAAGGGAGCGUAGAUGGCAGGAUAAGUCAGAUGUGAAAACCCAGGGCUCAACCCUGGGACUGCAUUUGAAACUAUCUCGCUAGAGUGCAGGAGAGGUAAGUGGAAUUCCUAGUGUAGCGGUGAAAUGCGUAGAUAUUAGGAGGAACACCAGUGGCGAAGGCGGCUUACUGGACUGUAACUGACACUGAGGCUCGAAAGCGUGGGGAGC